Molecule: small RNA, 1703 nt
Filed under: Pongo abelii (Sumatran orangutan)
Lineage: Eukaryota; Metazoa; Chordata; Mammalia; Primates; Hominidae
Description: retained intron
Source: RNAcentral
GGGCUGUGACCUCCGCCAUUGCCCCAGCUAAGCAGCGAGAGCUUGCUGAAGCCCAGAGGGCUGUAGGACCAUGAAAGCAGCUCUCUGGACCCUGGGACUCGGGCCCCUUCUUCUCAAUCUCUGGGCAGUCCCCAUUGCUCCUUGGGGCUGAGUGGCGGAGGCAGCCCCUGCGCGGGAACCCCCAUGAUCCGGAUAACAGAAGGCUCUGUGAUAAGGUGCAGCUUGCACCAGAAGGAGGCCAGCAUCUUCUGCAGAAGGCUGGGGUGCGGCCCGGCGCUCCAGCAUCCAGGCCCCACCUCACAGGGCACCCAGGCUGGCUGGGCUCGAAAAUCAUUUCCUGCCAGGGAACAGAGUCCAGCAUCUUCAACUGCAGGUUCAACCUGAACUUCCUGGACCUCUGUGACCUCCCAACAGACUCUGAGGUGGUGUGUGCAGGUAGUGCAGAAAAGGCAGGAGAAGUUCCUGAGGACCCUGGGGAGCCCCUCAACGGAGCUCUGGCACGCGGGCUCCUGGGGCACCGUGUGCGACGAUGGCUGGGACCUGGCAGACGCGGAGGUCGUGUGCCGCCAGCUGGGCUGUGGUCGGGCCGUCGCCGCCCUGGGGGCCGCCGCCUUUGGCCCUGGCUCCGGGCCCGUGUGGCUGGACGAGGUGGGGUGCCGGGGCAGCGAGGCGUCCCUGUGGGGCUGCCCUUCGGAGCGGUGGGGACGCGGAGGCUGCGCGCACAAGGAGGACGCAGGCCUGCGCUGCUGGGAGCCUGGCCCAGGCCCCCCGCUGCCUGCAGCUCCCAUCCGGACAUUGUGGGCGGUCAGUGUCGUCCUGCAGCUCCCAUCCGGACAUUCUGGGCGGUCAGUGUCGUCCUGGGAGCCCUUCUUGGUCUUCUCCUUCUGGGCCUUAUGGCCUUUCUGAUUCUGCCUCGAGUCACACAAGCCAUGCAGAGGGGUCUAGGAAGAUCCGAGGCAUCUCUUGGAGAAGCCAUCUAUGAUGUCAUUGGGGAAAUGCCGCUAGCAGGACUGUACGAGGAAAUCAUGGAGGCCGAGGCCGAGGCCAUGCUCCAAGAUGAGGAGGACGAGGGUGUGGUGAAGGUGGACACAGAAGCCGCAGUUUCAGGGGAGGCGUCUAACCUCCUGGAGGGACAGUCUAUACGUAUGGAGGGAGGACACAGCAGACCUGUUUCUCAGGGAUAUGACGAGGCUGCGUUUCCUCUGGAGGAGAUGAUGUUGUAAAGCACCCUGAGGAUGAGAUACACCAGCUGGCUGUCGAAAUCACAGCUCUUCAUUUUCUUGUACAAUUGUAGUGGAUUUCGUGAGAACACCUUGGAUGCCUUUCUCUUGCAAUGUCCUCCACGUCCAUAUAAAAUCCAGUCCUUCCAGGCCCUGCCUGGUUCUAACCCUCAUCCCCUUCGAGGGCCAUCUGCUGUGGACAGUUGUGCUGUGUAACCUUCAGAUUUCCCACACAUUACAGCAAUGCAAAUACACAUAGAAAUCAGUGGUUCUGUUUGUGGUUUAGAGACACAUGGUGCCAUCUUCAUCUUCCGCUCCACAGCUCGCUUCUGGCACCCAGCAGUGCGUUGCAGAGAUCCCCGUGCCAGAACCUUCCUCUUUUUUCUUAAAAACUCUUCUUAAUUGAAUCCAAAGUAUCUUUUAGAUGUUCUACUUGUGUAAUCAUGUCAUCUGUGAAUAUUCAGAUUUAUCUUCUCCCUCCAA